Molecule: ribosomal RNA, 619 nt
Filed under: uncultured bacterium
Lineage: Bacteria
Description: bacterial SSU rRNA
Rfam family: Bacterial small subunit ribosomal RNA
Source: RNAcentral
CCUACGGGAGGCAGCAGUGGGGAAUUUUGGACAAUGGGCGCAAGCCUGAUCCAGCAAUGCCGCGUGAGUGAAGAAGGCCUUCGGGUUGUAAAGCUCUUUUGUCAGGGAAGAAACGGUGGGGACUAAUACUUCCUGCUAAUGACGGUACCUGAAGAAUAAGCACCGGCUAACUACGUGCCAGCAGCCGCGGUAAUACGUAGGGUGCAAGCGUUAAUCGGAAUUACUGGGCGUAAAGCGUGCGCAGGCGGUUGUGCAAGACAGAUGUGAAAUCCCCGGGCUCAACCUGGGAAUUGCAUUUGUGACUGCACGGCUAGAGUGUGUCAGAGGGGGGUAGAAUUCCACGUGUAGCAGUGAAAUGCGUAGAGAUGUGGAGGAAUACCGAUGGCGAAGGCAGCCCCCUGGGAUAACACUGACGCUCAUGCACGAAAGCGUGGGGAGCAAACAGGAUUAGAUACCCUGGUAGUCCACGCCCUAAACGAUGUCUACUAGUUGUCGGGUCUUAAUUGACUUGGUAACGCAGCUAACGCGUGAAGUAGACCGCCUGGGGAGACGGUCGCAAGNUUAAAACGUCAAAGGAAUUGACGGCGNGAGAGAGCGACGACGACGACGAGGGAGGAGG